Molecule: ribosomal RNA, 303 nt
Filed under: uncultured bacterium
Lineage: Bacteria
Description: partial 16S ribosomal RNA
Rfam family: Bacterial small subunit ribosomal RNA
Source: RNAcentral
AGCAGUAGCCACGGGAAUACGGAGGGGGCAAGCGUUAUCCGGAGUUAUUGGGCGUAAAGGGUACGUAGGUGGCCUUUUAAGCGUAGGGUAUAAGGCAAUGGCUCAACCAUUGUUCGCCCUAUGAACUGGAAGGCUUGAGUGCAGGAGAGGAAAGCGGAAUUCCUAGUGUAGCGGUGGAAUGCAUAGAUAUUAGGAGGAACAUCAGCGGCGAAGGCGGCUUUCUGGACUGCAACUGACACUGAGGUACGAAAGCGUGGGGAGCAAACAGGAUUAGAUACCCGGGUAGUCCCUGUCUCUUAUACA